GACGAACGCUGGCGGCGUGCUUAACACAUGCAAGUCGAGCGGUAAGGCCCUUUCGGGGUACGACGAGCGGCGAACGGGUAGAGUAACACGUGGGUGACCUGCCCUCCAGCUCUGGGAGUAAGCCUGGGAAACGUGGGUCUAAUACUGGAUAUGACUCCACGGUGCAUGUCGUGGGGUGGAAAGCCUUGUGCGGCUGAGGAUGGGCCCGCGGCCUAUCAGCUUGUUGGU
Molecule: ribosomal RNA, 228 nt
Filed under: uncultured bacterium
Lineage: Bacteria
Description: partial 16S ribosomal RNA
Rfam family: Bacterial small subunit ribosomal RNA
Source: RNAcentral